This 72-nucleotide transfer RNA is filed under the name Equus asinus (donkey). It matches the Rfam family "tRNA". From Rfam's summary of the family: Transfer RNA (tRNA) molecules are approximately 80 nucleotides in length. Lineage: Eukaryota; Metazoa; Chordata; Mammalia; Perissodactyla; Equidae. RNAcentral also lists the same sequence under 1 other name. The record is from Rfam by way of RNAcentral.
GCCCUGGUGGUCUAGUAGUUAAGAUUCAGCGCUCUUGCCUCUGUGGCCUGGGUUCGUUUCCCAAUCAGGGAA